AUCUCAUGAUGUGGACAUCUUCUCAAUAGUUUUUUAAAUCUCUCCCUGGCUUCAUACAAAGAUUCACCAUGAAAUUGUGUGAAUGAGGUGAUAUCGUUCCUCAUCUU
Molecule: small nucleolar RNA, 107 nt
Filed under: Theobroma cacao (cacao)
Lineage: Eukaryota; Viridiplantae; Streptophyta; Magnoliopsida; Malvales; Malvaceae
Description: Plant small nucleolar RNA R71
Rfam family: Plant small nucleolar RNA R71
About the family: R71 is a member of the C/D box family of snoRNAs containing the C (UGAUGA) and D (CUGA) box motifs. Multiple nearly identical copies of this snoRNA have been identified in Arabidopsis, and it is thought to function as a 2'-O-ribose methylation guide for 18S ribosomal RNA.
Source: Rfam by way of RNAcentral